This 253-nucleotide ribosomal RNA is filed under the name uncultured Chthoniobacteraceae bacterium. RNAcentral describes it as "partial 16S ribosomal RNA". It matches the Rfam family "Bacterial small subunit ribosomal RNA", at positions 524 to 776 of the family's 1533-position model. The record is from RNAcentral. Lineage: Bacteria; Pseudomonadati; Verrucomicrobiota; Spartobacteria; Chthoniobacterales; Chthoniobacteraceae.
UACAGAGGUCUCAAGCGUUGUUCGGAUUCAUUGGGCGUAAAGGGUGCGUAGGUGGCGAAGUAAGUCGGGUGUGAAAUCUCGGGGCUUAACCCCGAAACUGCAUUCGAUACUGCUUUGCUCGAGGACUGGAGAGGAGAUUGGAAUUCAUGGUGUAGCAGUGAAAUGCGUAGAUAUCAUGAGGAAGACCAGUGGCGAAGGCGGAUCUCUGGACAGUUCCUGACACUGAGGCACGAAGGCCAGGGGAGCAAACGGG